AGUGAACGCUGGCGGUAGGCCUAACACAUGCAAGUCGAACGGCAGCACAGUAAGAGCUUGCUCUUACGGGUGGCGAGUGGCGGGCGGGUGAGGAAUACAUCGGAAUCUACUAUUUCGUGGGGGAUAACGUAGGGAAACUUACGCUAAUACCGCAUACGACCUACGGGUGAAAGCAGGGGAUCUUCGGACCUUGCGCGAUUGAAUGAGCCGAUGUCGGAUUAGCUAGUUGGCGGGGUAAAGGCCCACCAAGGCGACGAUCCGUAGCUGGUCUGAGAGGAUGAUCAGCCACACUGGAACUGAGACACGGUCCAGACUCCUACGGGAGGCAGCAGUGGGGAAUAUUGGACAAUGGGCGCAAGCCUGAUCCAGCCAUACCGCGUGGGUGAAGAAGGCCUUCGGGUUGUAAAGCCCUUUUGUUGGGAAAGAAAAGCAGCAGGUUAAUCCCCCGCUGUUCUGACGGUACCCAAAGAAUAAGCACCGGCUAACUUCGUG
Molecule: ribosomal RNA, 492 nt
Filed under: uncultured bacterium
Lineage: Bacteria
Description: partial 16S ribosomal RNA
Rfam family: Bacterial small subunit ribosomal RNA
Source: RNAcentral